CAGUCUCACCACUAGGGCUCUAG
Molecule: non-coding RNA, 23 nt
Filed under: Cricetulus griseus (Chinese hamster)
Lineage: Eukaryota; Metazoa; Chordata; Mammalia; Rodentia; Cricetidae
Source: RNAcentral